RNAcentral lists this long non-coding RNA (202 nucleotides) under Capsicum annuum. RNAcentral describes it as "long non-coding RNA (CANN_LNC008011)". The record is from RNAcentral. Lineage: Eukaryota; Viridiplantae; Streptophyta; Magnoliopsida; Solanales; Solanaceae.
AUGAGUCAAUAAUGUCAAAUAAGCCUCUGCAAGGGAAAUACACAAUAUAUAUUAUAAUAAGACAACAACAAAAAAAAUAAGCCUCCAUAAGUGCAUCACACAAUAUAUAAUAACUCGUAAAUUAUAUUCAUGUCACGAUCUAACUUAUGAGUUAUGAUAGCACUUGCCCUCUCCCGCCAGUAGGUAAAACAAAUCGUAGUCC